AUUGAACGCUGGCGGCAUGCUUUACACAUGCAAGUCGAACGGUAACAGGCCGCAAGGUGCUGACGAGUGGCGAACGGGUGAGUAAUGCAUCGGAACGUGCCCAGUCGUGGGGGAUAACUACUCGAAAGAGUAGCUAAUACCGCAUACGAUCUAUGGAUGAAAGCGGGGGACCGUAAGGCCUCGCGCGAUUGGAGCGGCCGAUGUCAGAUUAGGUAGUUGGUGGGGUAAAGGCUCACCAAGCCAACGAUCUGUAGCUGGUCUGAGAGGACAACCAGCCACACUGGGACUGAGACACGGCCCAGACUCCUACGGGAGGCAGCAGUGGGGAAUUUUGGACAAUGGGCGCAAGCCUGAUCCAGCAAUGCCGCGUGCAGGAAGAAGGCCUUCGGGUUGUAAACUGCUUUUGUACGGAACGAAACGGCUCUGGUUAAUACCCGGGGCUAAUGACGGUACCGUAAAAAUAAGCACCGGCUAACUACGUG
RNAcentral lists this ribosomal RNA (482 nucleotides) under uncultured bacterium. RNAcentral describes it as "partial 16S ribosomal RNA". It matches the Rfam family "Bacterial small subunit ribosomal RNA", at positions 30 to 507 of the family's 1533-position model. The record is from RNAcentral.